GACGAACGCUGGCGGCGUGCCUAAUACAUGCAAGUAGAACGCUGAAGAGAGGAGCUUGCUCUUCUUGGAUGAGUUGCGAACGGGUGAGUAACGCGUAGGUAACCUGCCUUGUAGCGGGGGAUAACUAUUGGAAACGAUGGCUAAUACCGCAUAACAAUGGAUGACACAUGUCAUUUAUUUGAAAGGGGCAAUUGCUCCACUACAAGAUGGACCUGCGUUGUAUUAGCUAGUAGGUGAGGUAAUGGCUCACCUAGGCGACGAUACAUAGCCGACCUGAGAGGGUGAUCGGCCACACUGGGACUGAGACACGGCCCAGACUCCUACGGGAGGCAGCAGUAGGGAAUCUUCGGCAAUGGGGGCAACCCUGACCGAGCAACGCCGCGUGAGUGAAGAAGGUUUUCGGAUCGUAAAGCUCUGUUGUAAGUCAAGAACGGGUGUGAGAGUGGAAAGUUCACACUGUGACGGUAGCUUACCAGAAAGGGACGGCUAACUACGUG
Molecule: ribosomal RNA, 497 nt
Filed under: uncultured bacterium
Lineage: Bacteria
Description: partial 16S ribosomal RNA
Rfam family: Bacterial small subunit ribosomal RNA
Source: RNAcentral